This 478-nucleotide ribosomal RNA is filed under the name uncultured organism. Its description in RNAcentral is "partial 16S ribosomal RNA". It matches the Rfam family "Bacterial small subunit ribosomal RNA", at positions 332 to 801 of the family's 1533-position model. The record is from RNAcentral.
UACACUCCUACGGGAGGCAGCAGUGGGGAAUUUUGGACAAUGGGCGAAAGCCUGAUCCAGCAAUGCCGCGUGAGUGAAGAAGGCCUUCGGGUUGUAAAGCUCUUUUGUCAGGGAAGAAACGGUGAAAGCUAAUAUCUUUUGCUAAUGACGGUACCUGAAGAAUAAGCACCGGCUAACUACGUGCCAGCAGCCGCGGUAAUACGUAGGGUGCAAGCGUUAAUCGGAAUUACUGGGCGUAAAGCGUGCGCAGGCGGUUUUGUAAGUCUGAUGUGAAAUCCCCGGGCUCAACCUGGGAAUUGCAUUGGAGACUGCAAGGCUAGAAUCUGGCAGAGGGAGGUAGAAUUCCACGUGUAGCAGUGAAAUGCGUAGAUAUGUGGAGCAACACCGAUGGCGAAGGCAGCCCCCUGGGUCAAGAUUGACGCUCAUGCACGAAAGCGUGGGGAGCAAACAGGAUUAGAAACCCUAGUAGUCCCAUGAU